This 588-nucleotide ribosomal RNA is filed under the name Penicillium rubens. RNAcentral describes it as "eukaryotic LSU rRNA". The stretch from base 208 to 360 matches the Rfam family "5.8S ribosomal RNA". The record is from RNAcentral. Lineage: Eukaryota; Fungi; Ascomycota; Eurotiomycetes; Eurotiales; Aspergillaceae.
UUCCGUAGGUGAACCUGCGGAAGGAUCAUUACCGAGUGAGGGCCCUCUGGGUCCAACCUCCCACCCGUGUUUAUUUUACCUUGUUGCUUCGGCGGGCCCGCCUUAACUGGCCGCCGGGGGGCUUACGCCCCCGGGCCCGCGCCCGCCGAAGACACCCUCGAACUCUGUCUGAAGAUUGUAGUCUGAGUGAAAAUAUAAAUUAUUUAAAACUUUCAACAACGGAUCUCUUGGUUCCGGCAUCGAUGAAGAACGCAGCGAAAUGCGAUACGUAAUGUGAAUUGCAAAUUCAGUGAAUCAUCGAGUCUUUGAACGCACAUUGCGCCCCCUGGUAUUCCGGGGGGCAUGCCUGUCCGAGCGUCAUUUCUGCCCUCAAGCACGGCUUGUGUGUUGGGCCCCGUCCUCCGAUCCCGGGGGACGGGCCCGAAAGGCAGCGGCGGCACCGCGUCCGGUCCUCGAGCGUAUGGGGCUUUGUCACCCGCUCUGUAGGCCCGGCCGGCGCUUGCCGAUCAACCCAAAUUUUUAUCCAGGUUGACCUCGGAUCAGGUAGGGAUGCCCGCUGAACUUAAGCAUAUCAAUAAGCGGAGGAAA